AAGCAUAUCAAUAAGCGGAGGAAAAGAAACCAACAGGGAUUGCCUUAGUAACUGCGAGUGAAGCGGCAAAAGCUCAAAUUUGAAAUCUGGCGUCUUCGACGUCCGAGUUGUAAUUUGGAGGGGCAUCUUCGGAAUUGGCGCCGUCCUAAGUUCCUUGGAACAGGACGUCAUAGAGGGUGAGAAUCCCGUGCCUGGAUGGCUGUCCAAUUCCAUGUGAAGUGUCUCCGACGAGUCGAGUUGUUUGGGAAUGCAGCUCAAAAUGGGUGGUAAAUUUCAUCUAAAGCUAAAUAUUGGCGAGAGACCGAUAGCGCACAAGUAGAGUGAUCGAAAGAUGAAAAGCACUUUGAAAAGAGAGUUAAAAAGUACGUGAAAUUGUUGAAAGGGAAGCGCUUGAGACCAGACUCAAUCUUAGGUGAUCAGCUGUGCUUCUGUACGGUGCACUUGCCUUUGAUUGGGCCAGCAUCAGUUCUGACGGUGGGAUAAAAUGCAUAGGAAUGUGGCUCUCUUCGGGGAGUGUUAUAGCCUUUGUAACAAUGCCACCAGUUGGGACUGAGGACCGCGCUUCGGCUAGGAUGCUGGCGUAAUGGUCUUAAGCGACCCGUCUUGAAACACGGACCAAGGAGUCUAACAUCUAUGCGAGUGUUCGGGUGGAAAACCCUUGCGCGUAAUGAAAGUGAACGGAGGUGUGAACCCCUCGGGGUGCAACAUCGACCGAUCCUGAUGUUUUCGGAAGGAUUUGAGUAAGAGCAUAGCUGUUGGGACCCGAAAGAUGGUGAACUAUGCCUGAAUAGGGUGAAGCCAGAGGAAACUCUGGUGGAGGCUCGCAGCGGUUCUGACGUGCAAAUCGAUCGUCAAAUUUGGGUAUAGGGGCGAAAGACUAAUCGAACCAUCUAG
RNAcentral lists this ribosomal RNA (894 nucleotides) under Byssonectria terrestris. Its description in RNAcentral is "eukaryotic LSU rRNA". It matches the Rfam family "Eukaryotic large subunit ribosomal RNA", at positions 36 to 947 of the family's 3401-position model. Lineage: Eukaryota; Fungi; Ascomycota; Pezizomycetes; Pezizales; Pyronemataceae. The record is from RNAcentral.